GGGUAUAUAGCUCAACGGUUAGAGCGCUUGAUUCACAUUCAAGAGGUUGAAGGUUCGAAUCCUUCUAUGCCCA
This 73-nucleotide transfer RNA is filed under the name bacterium. RNAcentral's name for it is "tRNA-Val". It matches the Rfam family "tRNA". From Rfam's summary of the family: Transfer RNA (tRNA) molecules are approximately 80 nucleotides in length. Their secondary structure includes four short double-helical elements and three loops (D, anti-codon, and T loops). The record is from RNAcentral.